Molecule: long non-coding RNA, 678 nt
Filed under: Apteryx owenii (little spotted kiwi)
Lineage: Eukaryota; Metazoa; Chordata; Aves; Apterygiformes; Apterygidae
Description: lncRNA (ENSAOWG00000015127.1)
Source: RNAcentral
GCCAUUUCGCUUUCCCUUCCAGCUCCUUCAAUCGCUGAAAGCCAAAGGACCAAUGGAGGAAACCCAGCAUGUCUUUUCUUAGUAAGACUAACACAGAAAAUGGGUCGGAUUUCUAGCGUAUAUCCAGAAGAAUGGCUCUUCAGAGGCUGAACUCUGCAACCCUUAAAGGCAAUGGCUAUGUUAAGCAGCCCCUAAGGAUGGCGAGAGAUCACCUUCGUUUUAAAAGCACCUCUACAGAGAAUGUCAAAGCAAGCUAAAGGGAAGCAGCUGUUACUGUUCUCCCCCUGUUGUAGGGUGCAUCUAGCCCCACGGUAAGCCAGAACUGCCUGACGCCACUGAGGUGAUCUGCUGAUGCACAGCGUGGAGUUGCAUCUGUCAGCCUUAUCCUCAUCCUUGUUCAUCUCUACCUGGGAAAGGCUUCUGUUUCAAUGAACUUUUCUUGACAAAAACAAAAGAAAAACAUGCUAUCAGAACUGGUCAGAAACUUUGCAAGUUUGCUGCGUACAUGUCUGUCCGUACUACUGUUUUUCCAUGUCUGUGCUGGUGUGAACUAAUAGAUUGUAAUAAGUAUAAAUCAGUACAUGCUUACAUUUCUUGUACGUCUUCAAACAGUCUGUCCCCUAACUCAAACAUGUAAAAGAGAAUAAAUAUCAGGCUCUGACUUAAUGGACUGUGUGG